Molecule: transfer RNA, 64 nt
Filed under: Bemisia afer
Lineage: Eukaryota; Metazoa; Arthropoda; Insecta; Hemiptera; Aleyrodidae
Description: tRNA-Phe
Source: RNAcentral
GUUUAAAUAGCUUAAAUAAAAGCAUAAUAUUGAAGCUAUUAAGACAACUAAAAAUUUUUAAACA